UACAGAGGUCUCAAGCGUUGUUCGGAUUCAUUGGGCGUAAAGGGUGCGUAGGUGGCGCGGUAAGUCGGGUGUGAAAUCUCGGAGCUUAACUCCGAAACUGCAUUCGAUACUGCCGUGCUUGAGGACUGGAGAGGAGACUGGAAUUUACGGUGUAGCGGUGAAAUGCGUAGAUAUCGUAAGGAAGACCAGUGGCGAAGGCGGCUCACUGGUCCGGUACUGACGCUGAGGUGCGAAAGCGUGGGGAGCAAACAGG
This 253-nucleotide ribosomal RNA is filed under the name uncultured bacterium. Its description in RNAcentral is "partial 16S ribosomal RNA". It matches the Rfam family "Bacterial small subunit ribosomal RNA", at positions 524 to 776 of the family's 1533-position model. The record is from RNAcentral.